GACGAACGCUGGCGGCGUGCCUAAUACAUGCAAGUAGAACGCACGGUUUAUACCGUAGCUUGCUACACCAUAGACUGUGAGUUGCGAACUGGUGAGUAACGCGUAGGUAACCUGCCUGGUAGCGGGGGAUAACUAUUGGAAACGAUAGCUAAUACCGCAUAAUAUUAAUUAUUGCAUGAUAAUUAAUUGAAAGGUGCAAUUGCACCACUACCAGAUGGACCUGCGUUGUAUUAGCUAGUAGGUGAGGUAACGGCUCACCUAGGCGACGAUACAUAGCCGACCUGAGAGGGUGAUCGGCCACACUGGGACUGAGACACGGCCCAGACUCCUACGGGAGGCAGCAGUAGGGAAUCUUCGGCAAUGGACGAAAGUCUGACCGAGCAACGCCGCGUGAGUGAAGAAGGUUUUCGGAUCGUAAAGCUCUGUUGUAAGAGAAGAACGGGUGUGAGAGUGGAAAGUUCACACUGUGACGGUAUCUUACCAGAAAGGGACGGCUAACUACGUG
This 505-nucleotide ribosomal RNA is filed under the name uncultured bacterium. RNAcentral describes it as "partial 16S ribosomal RNA". It matches the Rfam family "Bacterial small subunit ribosomal RNA", at positions 28 to 507 of the family's 1533-position model. The record is from RNAcentral.